GUAGUACUCCCUUCGUCCGAAAAUACUUGUCACCAAAAUGAAUAAAAGGAGAUGUAUCUAGAUCUAUUUUAGUUCUACAUAUAUUUUUUUUCGUUUAUUUUGAUGACAAGUAUUUUCGGACGGAUGGAGUAGCUA
This is a non-coding RNA of Triticum aestivum (bread wheat), 135 nucleotides long. Lineage: Eukaryota; Viridiplantae; Streptophyta; Magnoliopsida; Poales; Poaceae. The record is from Rfam.